UUCGCCCUUAGAGUUUGAUCCUGGCUCAGGACGAACGCUGGCGGCGCGCCUAACACAUGCAAGUCGAACGGAGUCAAGAGGAGCUUGCUUUUCUUGACUUAGUGGCGAACGGGUGAGUAACGCGUGAGUAACCUGCCCUGGAGUGGGGGACAACAGUUGGAAACGACUGCUAAUACCGCAUAAGCCCACGGAUCCGCAUGGAUCUGCGGGAAAAGGAUUUAUUCGCUUCAGGAUGGACUCGCGUCCAAUUAGCUAGUUGGUGAGGUAACGGCCCACCAAGGCGACGAUUGGUAGCCGGACUGAGAGGUUGAACGGCCACAUUGGGACUGAGACACGGCCCAGACUCCUACGGGAGGCAGCAGUGGGGGAUAUUGCACAAUGGGGGAAACCCUGAUGCAGCGACGCCGCGUGGAGGAAGAAGGUUUUCGGAUUGUAAACUCCUGUCGUUAGGGACGAUAAUGACGGUACCUAACAAGAAAGCACCGGCUAACUACGUGCCAGCAGCCGCGGUAAAACGUAGGGUGCAAGCGUUGUCCGGAAUUACUGGGUGUAAAGGGAGCGCAGGCGGACCGGCAAGUUGGAAGUGAAAACUAUGGGCUCAACCCAUAAAUUGCUUUCAAAACUGUUUUUCUUGAGUAGUGCAGAGGUAGAUGGAAUUCCCGGUGUAGCGGUGGAAUGCGUAGAUAUCGGGAGGAACACCAGUGGCGAAGGCGGUCUACUGGGCACCAACUGACGCUGAGGCUCGAAAGCAUGGGUAGCAAACAGGAUUAGAUACCCUGGUAGUCCAUGCCGUAAACGAUGAUUACUAGGUAUCGGGGGAUUGAUCCCCUCAGUGCCGCAGUUAACACAAAUAAGUAAUCCACCUGGGGAGUACGACCGCAAGGUUGAAACUCAAAGGAAUUGACGGGGGCCCGCACAAGCAGUGGAGUAUGUGGUUUAAUUCGAAGCAACGCGAAGAACCUUACCAGGUCUUGACAUCCGAUGCAUAGCACAGAGAUGUGUGAAAUCCUUCGGGACAUCGAGACAGGUGGUGCAUGGUUGUCGUCAGCUCGUGUCGUGAGAUGUUGGGUUAAGUCCCGCAACGAGCGCAACCCUUAUUGCCAGUUACUACGUUAAGAGGACUCUGGCGAGACUGCCGUUGACAAAACGGAGGAAGGUGGGGAUGACGUCAAAUCAUCAUGCCCUUUAUGACCUGGGCUACACACGUACUACAAUGGCGUUAAACAAAGAGAAGCAAGACCGCGAGGUGGAGCAAAACUCAAAAACAACGUCUCAGUUCAGAUUGCAGGCUGCAACUCGCCUGCAUGAAGUCGGAAUUGCUAGUAAUCGCGGAUCAGCAUGCCGCGGUGAAUACGUUCCCGGGCCUUGCACUCACCGCCCGUCA
Molecule: ribosomal RNA, 1384 nt
Filed under: uncultured bacterium
Lineage: Bacteria
Description: 16S ribosomal RNA
Rfam family: Bacterial small subunit ribosomal RNA
Source: RNAcentral